Molecule: transfer RNA, 41 nt
Filed under: Spermatophyta environmental sample
Lineage: Eukaryota; Viridiplantae; Streptophyta
Description: partial tRNA-Leu
Source: RNAcentral
AAAAUCCGUCGACUUUAUAAGUCGNGAGGGUUCAAGUCCCU